UUCAAGGUUCCUAUAAGUUGUAUAGUACAGUGUUUUUAAAAAAUCUUGGGGUGUUUUUUAAAAUUAGAUAUAUUUUGCCCGGGAAUUUUUUUAACAAGAUUGCUAAAACAUCUUAUUUAGACAGUUUGAUGUACCAAUUUAUAAUUGGAUAUUCAACUUAAAUAGUAUACAGAGUUGUGACUUUUAUUUUAAUUAAUUUUUUCCUUGUGGGUAGUGUGCAUGGGAUGACAAACCUGAACAGAGGCUGUGAGUUGUAUGAGUGCAGAGUUUGUAAAUGAAUUGAUUGGGUAAGAUUGACAUUUGCUUCUGAGGUAUUUUUCAGGCCAUGUGCAUAAAAUCUGCCUCAAAUUUCUAUCAUAGCAGGAAUGUAAAAGAGAUAAAAAUCCUUUGUUUUUGAGUUCUGACAGCUAGGGGGUGCAAAUGUUUAGGCAGCGUAUUUGAAAUGUUCUGAGGUCUGGGCACCAAAAUGAGAAAACUCUUUACAGUUAAGUAAUAAGAUUCAGCUAGCACCCACAGAUUACUGUUUUUUAAACUUUUGACGUCUUACAGUUAGCUUUAAAAUAAUGAUGGUUUUAUAAAUUGAUCUCCACAAUAAUUUUGGUAUUUUCCUUCUUCCCCCAUUUAGAAAUGUGUUGAACAUGAAAAUUUACAGGGUCUGAAGUUGUUCAUCUUCGGGCCAAAUUUUUUAUGGCACUUUAGUUUUAACCACAGUACUCAUCUAUUACACUCUUCUCUUAUAAAAUUUACCCUUACUUCUUUUGUUCAUGGUUAGUGUCUUUGGGGGAUGUUAUGGAAAAGUUACUUUAUAUUUUAUAAGGAGAACGCUCAAAUUAAUUAUACCUCCUAGUUAAAAUUUCUUAAAUAUAUAUGAAACUUGAACUAAAGAUUUUUUUUAUAUAUAUAUUGAGAAAAGCCUAUUAAAGUCUCAAUUUACCUUUUUUGGUCUGCCAGUAAAUUAAAUAGCUAAAUACAGUACCAGCUAAAUAUAGCUGCUUGUAUAUUCUAUGAUUUAAUAAAAUGAUGCAGACUAGUUAUAUUCAUAGUAAACAUAUGAUUGAAGUGUCCUUCAUCUUAUCUGAAAGAACAAGAUUACAUGCUCAGUUCAAUUAAUGGAAAUUAUUUCAUUUUAAAUGGUUUUUAAAAAAUAAAGCUACUUACCCAGAUGAAAUGCACCGUUUUAAAAUACGACUGUCAAGCUAUUCAAGACUAUUUUAUAACACAAAGUGAAGUCAGUGCUAUCUUGAUCCAAUUUAAGCCUAAGAAUCGUUGCAUUUUCCAUGUUCAUUAAAAACAGCAGCAGAGAUUCUUCGGCAGGCAAGAAAAUGUUUAUUUCAUAAUCACUCUGAGAUUUAUUUUGGUGAUGUGUUUCUGACUGCCAUCUUCUUUGCUCUCAUCUCUCUACUAGUAUUUCCCCCCGUGCCAUUACCACUUGAUUUUUAUGUCUGCUGGCAGUGAGAGGCUAAAAUGACUGGCCAACGUAAGCCAAAGCUGUAAACAACAGUUGAAGUGUAUCUUCAUGGAUGCAGCAUGGUACAAGAUAGAGUGUGCUGUGCCAGGAAGACUACUUUCCUAUGACUCAGGAAACCUAGCAUCACUCCUAGCCAAAGCCAUCUGGGCCUCAGUUUCCUGAUCUGCAGCGGAAUAUGCCGAUCUCCAAGGAUCCAUCCAGCUGUGAUAUGCCAUGAAUAUGUGACUUGAAAAGCAAGGGAGAUCAAAGAUGGGAAAGGCAGUCAAUGUCUGCUUGCUUCUUCCACGGGAAAUUAAAGAAAGCACAACUAACGUUGUAAAGAUGUGGGCUUAAAUAUUUGUAGAUUAAA
This is a long non-coding RNA of Lagenorhynchus albirostris (white-beaked dolphin), 1817 nucleotides long. RefSeq lists it as uncharacterized. NCBI's taxonomy places the organism in Eukaryota, Metazoa, Chordata, Mammalia, Artiodactyla, Delphinidae. The record is from RefSeq and is a predicted model, not a curated record. The transcript is spliced from 2 exons.